GGAAUCUUCGGCAAUGGACGAAAGUCUGACCGAGCAACGCCGCGUGAGUGAAGAAGGUUUUCGGAUCGUAAAACUCUGUUGGUAAAGAAGAACGUUGGUGAGAGUGGAAAGCUCAUCAAGUGACGGUAACUACCCAGAAAGGGACGGCUAACUACGUGCCGA
This 162-nucleotide ribosomal RNA is filed under the name uncultured bacterium. RNAcentral's name for it is "partial 16S rRNA". It matches the Rfam family "Bacterial small subunit ribosomal RNA", at positions 358 to 511 of the family's 1533-position model. The record is from RNAcentral.